AGGGCUCUAGCAAGAAGAUGCCAGCAGAGGCUUGAAAAGUGCCUACCCCUGGCCUGGGAUGCUUCCUCCUGGGAUGCUCCCACUUGGAACCCAACUAUUGUGCUGCAGAAGUUUAACUUAACUGUGUAAGGAGGCCAAGAGGAGGCCCUGGCUGCCAGCCAGCAUCAACUUCCAGUGACGUGAGUGUGCCAUUCUGGAACUGGAUCCUGCAGCCUCGGUGGAGCAGCCUCAGCUGAUGCCAUGUGGAACAGAGAUGAACUGCCGCUGCCGAGCUCUGCCCACGUUGCAGAAUCAUGAGCAAAUAUGUUGUGGAUUGGCUGUAACUCUGCUCUGGGAUCCAGGCUGAAGGAGCAGGCUCUAUCUGGAACAUUACUAGUCUCCAGGCAGAAGAAAAAGAGACAAUGGAAUGGAUGAUUGAAUGGAUGAAUGAACUCCACAGGAAGAUGAGGAAAGCCUUUAUGGAUGGAGUGAGCUUGCAGCAGAGUCUCAAAGGGCCUACCUGGAAUGCCAUGCUCCCUCACCGCCAAUGCUGCCCUACCAAAUUCAGCCCAUAGACCUUCAAAAACCAAUUCAAAUCUCCAAGAAUCCAAGUCAGAAGAAAUUGCUGCCUCCUCUGAAUAAUUAUUGCUGACACUGAUUGCACUCUGUGCUUAUUGCUCAGUCCUUUGAGUUAUCUCGUCAAUAUUUCCCAUUUGUCCUAUAUCCAUCCCCACCUAGGAAUGAAUGGGACUUCAUGAUUCUGUCUUUCUAGUAUUAGAUGUCUUGCUCAGUAAAAAAUGUUUACUGUCUUGUAAAUUAAUUUAAAUAUAUGGUAAAAUAAUAUAGGGGUCUCUGGAAAGAUGGAAAUUGUUUGUUAUUGUUUUUGAGACGGAGUCUCACUCUGUUGCCCAGGCUGCAGUGCAAUGGUGUAAUCUCAGUGCAAUCUUGGCUCACUGCAACCUCCGCCUACCAGGUUCAAGCGAUUCUCCUGCCUCAACCUCCCAGGUAGCUGGAAUUACAGGCGCCUGCCACCACGCUGGGCUAAUUUUUGUAUUUUAAGUAGAGACGGAGUUUCACCAUGUUGGCCAGGCUGGUCUCGAGCUCCUGACCUCAAGUGAUCCACCCGCCUGGGCCUCCCAAACUGCUGGGAUUACAGGUGUGAGCCACUGUGCCCGGCCUGUUUUUGUUUUUUUGUGGGUUUUUUGUAGUUGUUGUUAUUUUUUUACACUGCAUCUCGCCUUCUCCGGAAAUAGUUUUAAAAUAGCUCAAUAACAUAAAAUUAUGUAGGAAAGGGUGUAUGAUGAGCUUAUUUAAUGCACAAGUUUUAUCGACUGUUUUGCAAUUAAUAGUAUGAAAAACUCAAUUUUUAUUUCUGUAAUUAAGAAUGACAUCAGGAAGAGGAAUGCAUGGUGACUAAGAAGAAGUCAUCAUUAGCCAGUCACCUGUCAGAUAUUCUGUAUGUAUCUGAUUAUAAGAUUAGAACACUUUUUCAUCUGUGUGUGUGCGCGCGUGCACGUGCGUGUAUGUGUGUUUGUGUGUUUCAUGAGCAUUUUUAGUACUGGGUCCUAUAUAUGUAAGUAUAAAUAUUACCAUAAAAUUUAUCAACCAAAUUGGGACUAUUUGAGAGUCACCUGGUGGGAGGGAGGGCACUAUUAAAAUUUUGCCAGGACAACAUACAUAAGCCAGGAGUGUUCAUCUUAUGAUUUUACUAUAGACAACUCACAUAUAGCUUAAGAAAGCAGCUCAAAUCACAGACAAGAUUAUUUUUCAUGAUCGUUUUCACUGGCCACCAGAAAGCCUUUUCUAAUAACAAAAGGACCACAUUUUUGAAUUUCAUCAUAGUUUGUCCUCAUGGAACUAUUGCAUGCUGGGACUUAAAGCCUCUAAACAAACUUCAUCUCCAUUACCAAUAAGAAGCCAGACAGUCGACCUGGUAACAGGACAUUCUGAACCUCCUUCCUAGACUGCAUGCAGACUGCACCGGCUGUGACAAUAAAGCCACAAUAUUGGAUCCCUCAGACUGCACCAUGUCAUGACUGCAGGAAUACUUUAUGAACCUCCAGGCUGCAGCUUUUACUAUUAUUCUCUUAGCCUCAUCCUUUCCAUUUCCCUCACAGUGAUUACACUGAUGAGGUCUAGUCUCAAAAACCUUAACUCGGUCCUCAAACCGUUUUUGGUAACCAUAUUCGAAAGGAAAAGUUUCUCGCACCAGGUGGUGAGAUUUUGCUAGUGUAAAAAAAAAAAAAAAAAAAA
Molecule: long non-coding RNA, 2232 nt
Filed under: Homo sapiens (human)
Lineage: Eukaryota; Metazoa; Chordata; Mammalia; Primates; Hominidae
Description: coronary artery disease region linked MFGE8 regulatory lncRNA, transcript variant 3 (CARMAL)
Source: RNAcentral